AGCGAACGCUGGCGGCAGGCUUAACACAUGCAAGUCGAGCGGGCACUUCGGCGUCAGCGGCAGACGGGUGAGUAACACGUGGGAACGUACCCUUCGGUUCGGAAUACCGCUGGGAAACUAGCGCUAAUACCGGAUACGCCCUUUUGGGGAAAGGUUUACUGCCGAAGGGUCGGCCCGCGUCUGAUUAGCUAGUUGGGAGGGUAAUGGCCUACCAAGGCGUCGAUCAGUAGCUGGUCUGAGAGGAUGAUCAGCCACACUGGGACUGAGACACGGCCCAGACUCCUACGGGAGGGAGGAGAGGGGAAUAUUGGACAAUGGGCGCAAGGCUGAUCCAGCCAUGCCGCGUGAGUGAUGAAGGCCUUAGGGUUGUAAAGCUGUUUUGUCCGGGACGAUAAUGACGGUACCGGAAGAAUAAGCCCCGGCUAACUUCGUG
RNAcentral lists this ribosomal RNA (433 nucleotides) under uncultured bacterium. RNAcentral describes it as "partial 16S ribosomal RNA". It matches the Rfam family "Bacterial small subunit ribosomal RNA", at positions 29 to 507 of the family's 1533-position model. The record is from RNAcentral.